Molecule: small RNA, 37 nt
Filed under: Bombyx mori (domestic silkworm)
Lineage: Eukaryota; Metazoa; Arthropoda; Insecta; Lepidoptera; Bombycidae
Description: ovarian small RNA-16322
Source: RNAcentral
GCACCUGAAAACAGACGAAAAGGUGACAAAACUAUCU